This 66-nucleotide transfer RNA is filed under the name Nototeredo knoxi. RNAcentral's name for it is "tRNA-Val". Lineage: Eukaryota; Metazoa; Mollusca; Bivalvia; Myida; Teredinidae. The record is from RNAcentral.
GAGGGGGUAGCAUAAAUUUAGUGCGUUUUGUUUACACCAAAAAUGUAGCCGUGUGGCUUCCUCUCU